RNAcentral lists this long non-coding RNA (852 nucleotides) under Manacus vitellinus (golden-collared manakin). RNAcentral's name for it is "lncRNA (ENSMVIG00005002257.1)". Lineage: Eukaryota; Metazoa; Chordata; Aves; Passeriformes; Pipridae. The record is from RNAcentral.
CCGGCGCCGUUUGGGGGAUUUGGGUUUCCCGCAGGCUCACGGGGCUUCGCCGCUGCGACCGUGACAAAGCGGAUUUGUACCUUCCAGCACCCGGCACCGCAUGAGUGCCCUUUUAAUAGCACACCGUUGUGUAUUCACACCCUGCCGCCCCACUCCGAAAUUCAAAACUUUGGCAACCCAAACUGCUGAGCGAGGAUCGUGGCUGUGCUGUACGAGGCUGUGUGCCACUGUCAGCAUAACUUGUUUCCAGGCUGCAUGGAGGCAGGGCUCACUGUGUUGUCUGACAAACUGGCUUCAUCCUGAAAGCUGGAGGUGAUCCAGAAGUCUGGUCGUCAGGCUCCUAAGGAGGGAAACGAGGAACAGGGAUGCUGCUGAUGUAGGAACCGAAGGAAACUCAUUCUCCUGGCCACCAGGGGGAGAAAACUGCCACUGACAUUUGUAAAACACUCAAAAUCAACUUAAACACGCACCUAUUUUCUUGCUAAGGUUUUUGAGACUUAGGUCCAUCAACUGUCUUAUUGAAUUAGUUAUGAGAAAACUAUUCAUUUUAGUUUUUUUCCAAAGUACUGUAAACCCCCUAAUGUAAUACAAUUUUAUUAAUUAAAAAUAUAAUUUAAUUAUUACAUGGAUCAUAUUCUCUCCUUCUCUAAAUGUUGCAUAUUACCUUAUUUUAAAAUUAAUCCUAUUAUUUUUAAUAGGACUGAGUGCAAAGUAAGAUACAGCUUAACAUGAGUAAGUACAGAAAAAUACUACUCUAAGUGAAAGGAACAAAUCUAUUCAAAGUAGCUAUGCAACAUGACAUACUUGCUUCUUGGCCUCAAAUAAACUCUGAAUAAGAAUAGGAAAGGAACA